GGAACACAUGAGAAAAAAAAAUCGUAAAAACAAAUUCGUAAUUUGUGAAAUUAGCAGGAAUAUACGAAAACAAAUUUUUUUACACAUUACAUAAAAUGGCAAGCUCGAUAAUAGUUGCUGGCAUAGGUCUAGCUGCAGUUGGUUUUGCGGGGAAGCAUCUCAUGCGCCGCAUGCCUGCUAUGGCCACAAAAUUAAGCGAAACUAUGAAAAAUCUACCCAAAUUUGACGCAGAAACCUUGGCGAACUCGAAAUACUACAAAGGAGGCUUCGAUCCAAAAAUGAAUAAGCGUGAGGCUUCUCUGAUUUUGGGCGUAAGUCCUAGUGCGUCCAAAUUGAAGAUAAAAGAUGCACACAAGAAGAUCAUGUUGCUCAAUCAUCCCGAUCGUGGGGGUUCUCCUUACUUGGCUGCCAAGAUAAACGAAGCAAAAGAUUUCAUGGACAAUACGAAAUAAGCGAACCGGUAAGGGCAAAUUCUUCACGCGAGGCAACAUUGUGCGGCCCCAACUUUCGCUGUAGCCAAAAUUUUGUUGACGUUGUCAAACGUCAAACACGUACGACAAGUGGUUGGAGCAAGCAGUCCACCGAUAGUUCAUUUAUUUUCAUUAUUUUUUCCUACAUUGUCCACCUAUUUUACUAAAUCCUCGUUAAACCAUUCACAAGCCCCCAUUUGCCAGCGAAAUGCGACAGCUACGCGGUAAAGUGAAGGAGACACGCAAACAGAAGAAGGAGCGCAAAAUGGAGAAUAUGGCCAUACAAAAUCAGCUUAAGACGGUAGUCCUGCCCGCAGUUUGCGUAUUUGCGUUGCUCAUCAUUGUCUUUGUGUACAUCAAAACGCGUCCAGCCGUCGAAAUGUAAAUAAAUUGCAUCACAACCGUAUGUGUAUACAUAUGUUAGUGCCAGUGGCAGCCUUCUAUGGCGUAAAUUAAACUAGCCUUCAAGCGUUCUGGCUACCAACACCAAAAAUGUAAAUUUUGAAAACUACUUGUUGCAGCAACAUAAUUGCGGUACCAAUUUUAGACACAUCCGGUUUUUACAGGUGUUGAAUUUUUAGAAUUUAGAGCAGCAAAUUUCUAGUUUUGGUUUGAAAAUGCUAAUUUUUUAGCAAUUAAUAUGUGGCUGGAGCACCUUAAGUUUCCUUUUACACAAAUUUAGUACUUUUUUUUUAUUAAAUGUAGGAGCAUACAAAUUAUAUAUUUUUUAAUUCAGUAAAUUAUAUGCUCAAAUAUCCAUACCACAACUUGUUGAAUGUCUACUGUUCUAGAAAUACUAUGUAUGCGUAUAUACAUAUGUAUGUGAAAAAACUGCUGUGCAAAUACAUAACUAAUAGGCUGGCGGCUCUGUAACGCCCUUUUUCACUUCCUAUUUUUUAGUAAUUUUAUAUACACAAAUGUACGUGGAUGAAUUUAAAAUGUUAUUUAUUUAGCAUGCACGUACAAACGACUAUUGAAUUAUGUUAUAUCUUGAUAUUUUGUAUUAGUCUUGAGAAAAUCAAAUAAAUACAUAUGCAUACA
Molecule: RNA transcript, 1511 nt
Organism: Rhagoletis pomonella (apple maggot)
Lineage: Eukaryota; Metazoa; Arthropoda; Insecta; Diptera; Tephritidae
Gene name: mitochondrial import inner membrane translocase subunit TIM14
Exons: 5
Source: RefSeq, a predicted model, not a curated record